GAUCUAGCUUGCUAGAUGCUGACGAGUGGCGCACGGGUGCGUAACGCGUAUACAAUCUACCUUUAACUGAGGGAUAGCCCAGAGAAAUUUGGAUUAAUACCUCAUAGUAUUAUAAUUAGGCAUCUUUUUAUAAUUAAAACUUCGGUGGUUAAAGAUGAGUAUGCGUACUAUUAGCUAGUUGGUAAGGUAAAAGCUUACCAAGGCAACGAUAGUUAGGGGGCCUGAAAGGGUGAUCCCCCACACUGGUACUGAGACACGGACCAGACUCCUACGGGAGGCAGCAGUGAGGAAUAUUGCACAAUGGAGGAAACUCUGAUGCAGCCAUGCCGCGUGCAGGAAGAAUGCCCUAUGGGUUGUAAACUGCUUUUAUACAAGAAGAAACCUCGGUACGUGUACCGACUUGACGGUAUUGUAUGAAUAAGCACCGGCUAACUCCGUGCCAGCAGCCGCGGUAAUACGGAGGGUGCAAGCGUUAUCCGGAUUUAUUAGGUUUAAAGGGUCCGCAGGCGGAAUAUUAAGUCAGUGGUGAAAGCCUACAGCUCAACUGUA
RNAcentral lists this ribosomal RNA (549 nucleotides) under uncultured Bacteroidota bacterium. RNAcentral's name for it is "bacterial SSU rRNA". It matches the Rfam family "Bacterial small subunit ribosomal RNA", at positions 72 to 617 of the family's 1533-position model. Lineage: Bacteria; Pseudomonadati; Bacteroidota. The record is from RNAcentral.